Molecule: small nucleolar RNA, 84 nt
Organism: Prolemur simus (greater bamboo lemur)
Lineage: Eukaryota; Metazoa; Chordata; Mammalia; Primates; Lemuridae
Source: Ensembl
CCGAUACAAUGAUGAUAACAUAGUUCAGCAGACUAACACUGAUGAGCAAGCAGUAUUGUCUUUCGCUCCUAUCUGAUGUAUCUG